This 428-nucleotide ribosomal RNA is filed under the name bacterium. RNAcentral's name for it is "partial 16S ribosomal RNA". It matches the Rfam family "Bacterial small subunit ribosomal RNA", at positions 355 to 776 of the family's 1533-position model. The record is from RNAcentral.
UAGGGAAUCUUCCACAAUGGACGCAAGUCUGAUGGAGCAACGCCGCGUGAGUGAAGAAGGUUUUCGGAUCGUAAAGCUCUGUUGUUGGUGAAGAAGGAUAGAGGCAGUAACUGGUCUUUAUUUGACGGUAAUCAACCAGAAGUUACGGCUAACUUACUGCCAGCAGCCGCGGUAAUACGUAGGUGGCAAGCGUUGUCCGGAUUUAUUGGGCGUAAAGCGAGCGCAGGCGGAAUGAUAAGUCUGAUGUGAAAGCCCACGGCUCAACCGUGGAACUGCAUCGGAAACUGUCAUUCUUGAGUGCAGAAGAGGAGAGUGGAAUUCCAUGUGUAGCGGUGGAAUGCGUAGAUAUAUGGAAGAACACCAGUGGCGAAGGCGGCUCUCUGGUCUGCAACUGACGCUGAGGCUCGAAAGCAUGGGUAGCGAACAGG